Molecule: long non-coding RNA, 1511 nt
Organism: Corapipo altera (White-ruffed manakin)
Lineage: Eukaryota; Metazoa; Chordata; Aves; Passeriformes; Pipridae
Exons: 7
Source: RefSeq, a predicted model, not a curated record
GAGCAAAAUGCUAAAAAGAAAAUGUGCAUUCAUCCUAACUGGGGAUGGCUCUUACCUCGGAGUGGCCAGAGCUCCUUACUGAAGGGAGAUGCCGUCUUCAUUUGACCACCAUUAAUUAAUGACAGGAUUUCCCAGCCAGUCCACACUUGGACUUGAAGUCCCGUUUUACAGGUGUUUCUAGCAGUCCAGGAAAACUGUGUAUUGUUCCUCCUCAAAGCCUCCUCGUGCCGUCUUUUGUUGAGGGAGAGAAAUGCUUCAGAGCCAUGUCAGUGCUUUUCAGCAUGCAGCCACAUGGACAAGCCGGCUCCAGGAGCUACAGGUUCCCAGAAGGCCACCUCCCAUCCCACAGCGAAGCAGAAGCUGAAGGCUCUCCUCACCCACUGCAGCCUCUCACCUUACCCCGCUUCUUUCCGAUAGCAGGCAGAAAGCCUGGCUUUAAAAGAGUUCAGACAGGAAGCAGAAAUGUUCCAGGAGGAUUUCUGAGUCCAUCAGAAGAGCAACUGGCUUCUCAAAGUGUGGAUUUCAGAGAUCCCUAAAAUAUUUGGCUACACUGUUGGAACAGUCAGGACUGAGGAACCAGCACCCCAGAGGACCUGCAGCUCCCCAGCACUCACACCUUGAGUCAAGGCUGAGCUCCACAAGCCGCUUCAGAAUGGAAAGAGAAAUCCCCAUGCUCUGGCUGAUGGGAUGUCUCUGGGAUCAGGCAUGCUGAGCUGAGCUAAGAGAGGAGCCCAACUGGCGCAUGAACCCAGGGACAACAGGGAGGUGUGCGAUGAUGGUGCAACAGGAGACCUGGCUCACAGUGCUUUUCCCUUGCACCCCCUGCUGCGGGGGAAAGGAGAGGAAGGGUGGCUGUCCCGGGACAUCUCCACAGGCAAGUCCUCCCUUGGCAGCAGUGUAUCUCACACACUUAUGAUGGCACCACAUCAGCACAGGAUGGAUAAAGGACUGGAAAACAGCUAAGGAGGUUGGCUCUGCUAAGAGAAGAGCCACUACAACAGAGGAAGAUAACAGAAAAACUCGUUAUGCCUGACAAAGCCCUUGAAGAUUGAGAACCAGUUCUUUUGGAAAUUCCCAGUGUAGGUUAAUAGGAACUUUACUUUUUAUAUUUUUGUGUGUGCAUAAAUGUAAAAGAGGACACAGUAUAAAAAAGCAAUAGUUCUGGGAAUAUAUAAAAUGCAUUUUGAUUAUGCCUGAUUCAUUUUGCAUAUUCAUACAGCAUGUACUGGCGUCAGGUUCUCUGUUUUUGAAAACUCCAAGAACCUCAGCCUGCAUUUAUCCUUUGAACAGUCAAUUUUUUUCCCAGUUUUCCAGUAACACUUAAGCUUUGAAAACUAUACAAAUUGUAGCCUAGCUGUGCCAGUAUUUGAAUUCACCAGUAAAAAUAUUUUAGUCCUGCAUCUCUAGUAAAUGCAACGCAGGUUGCAUUCUCCAGCCUCCAGCAAAAUCUGUGGAAUAUUUUCAGUGGCUUCUGUGAGGGAAGCCCUUGCUGAAGGCACAGCUCACUGUGU